This 2433-nucleotide long non-coding RNA is filed under the name Papio anubis (olive baboon). RNAcentral's name for it is "lncRNA (ENSPANG00000044311.1)". The record is from RNAcentral. Lineage: Eukaryota; Metazoa; Chordata; Mammalia; Primates; Cercopithecidae.
GUUCAACCUCUGCCUAUUACUCAGCUCCACAGUUGCUUCUACAUAUUCAGGUAUCUUUAUAGCAAUGUCCCACUUCUCUGGUAUCAAUUUGCUGUAUGAGUUUAUUCUCAUAUUGCUAUAAAAACAUAUAUGAAAAUGGGUAAUUUAUAAAGAAUAGGGGUUUAAUUGGCUUGUGCUUCUAUGGGCUGUACAGGCUUCUGCUUCUGGGGAGGCCUUAGGAAACUUAUAAUCAUGGUUGAAGGUGAAGAGGAAGAAAGUACGUCUUCACAUGGCUAGCAGGAGAGAGAGAGCAAAGAUGGAGAAGUGCUACACACUUUCAAACAAACAAAUCUCUGGAGAACUCACUCACUAUCACAAGAAAAAGAAGCAGGAAAUUUCACCCCAACAUUCAGUCGUCUCCCACCUGGUCCCUCCCUGAACAUUGGAGAUUACAAUUCAUCAUGCAGUUUGGGUGGGGACAGAGUCAAACUAUAUUACCAUGUAAGCCAAAAAAUAUCAGUGUUGUGUCAUAAUGGAGCAAAUGAACAAUUAAAGCAAAUAAGCCUGAGAAGUCAAGCAAGAUUGCCCUAGUCAUUUAUUAGUUUACUAAAUUCAUUCCACAGUAGUGUGUCAGGCACUCAAAGCUCAGUGAGUGGACCCCUUGGGGGCAGCUGCAAGUGGCAAAAAUUCUUCUACAUGGAUUCUCUUAGUCAUUGUGGUCGUCUUCUUGACAAGAAUGCUCAUAUUGAUAAGUGGCAAUUCAAGAGGUCAUUUGGCUUCUGGAUGUCAAAAGCUGCAAAAGGAACAUAUUUUGAAGUGCUUUCAAAAUGUUAGUAAUGACACUCUCUGCCUUUCACCUUCAGUUUGCCAUGAAGUCAAAUGUAUUAUUCCAGCUGAGCAACUUCCUGCAAGUCUUCACAGCUCACCCAGACCCUCAACAAUCAUAGGAACACAACAGGUUUGUGACACUGAAGAGGAUUGGACAGAAAGGCCUAGACUGGACUCUGGAGGGGACUAUGGACAGCCACAAGGCACAGAGGCCUGGGUAUAGGAAUCAAGAAGUCAGCUGAGUGGGGGCACGGGGAGGUAUACAGAAAGUGGAAGGGGGUGCAGCAUGGGGGUCGGGGGAAUCAGCAGGAUGGUCCUGGGAAAAAUACUCUGGUGUGAAUGUCCCUGAAAAUCUCCUUCCAGAUCAGGAGCACCUUCCACACUUCUACACUAAGGAGUCCAAUCGCCACUUCCACUCCAUCCUCCAGCAUAAGUAAGCUCUAUCUUCAUGAUGACUGAGUGACCAUCCCUUACUAUUUCAUAAGGGCAAGAUACAUGCGAAUCACCCUAGGGUAAAAUCAGCUUCAUGGAAAGGUACCCAGCAGCCUUCUUGCAGGUGAGGAUCUCCAGAGCUUAAGAAGAGGGCAGGAAAAGCCUUAGGUUCCAGUCCAAACGCUCAGGAUUUGGGGGUGAAACCAGCUCAGGUCAUGCCCUCUAAUGUCCAGGAUUCCACUUUCCUGACCAAUAAGAUUCAGUAACUCUCUUCUUCCCUUGGCUCUGUUGGGUGCUUGAAAAGCAAAGUAAACACUGUUGAUAUGACUGUAAGGAAUACAAUUUUUUUUUUGAUUCUGUUCUAACAAGAAACUGGACUGUUGUCAACAUAUGUUUUUCUUUUGUAUUGGUCAUUUUCCGUGGGUUUGUUUCUGCAUCCUUUUUCAUAUUGCCUUUUUGCUCUCUGUAAGAUUCAAUGUUCUAUUGGCAAGAUAAUAACAAAGAUAAGAAUGCUUUUAUUUCUGCAGGUAAAAAAGAACUUAAGUGAACCUGUUUUGAGGUAGUGCUUAAGAUGGAGAAAAUUCUGUAGAUUAAAACAGCUGGAGGGUGAAGAAAGGAAAACAAAGUAGGGGCUCAGAAUUGGAUAAAUGAGCAGAGGGGUUUGACUCAGACCCUGAAGGAGGAGAGAAUUAUAGACUGACCUGCGUGUGUCCCCUUCUCUCAGUGAAGGCAGCUGGUAAAGACUGCAGCCCAGAACAUUCUUUUAUUGAAUUCUGUUGUUUUUCUGGGUUGGCACAGAAAAAUAUGUCUCCUGGUUACUGUGAUUUUGUUCUUUUGCCUAGGACAUCCAGAUACUUCUUUUAGAGAUGCCAUGGGUUACAUUCCCUGGCAGGAUAUUAGUUCCUGUUAAGAAAUAAAAAUAUGCCCCAAUUCUUCAUUAAAAGCAUGAAUUAUUUUUUGAUAAUAUAUUUUAAUGUGACCUCUCGUCUUUUCUGGCUCAUUCUCUAAAUUUACACAUCGGUCUCCAGAGGUUUCCUUGCCAUAACUCUCACCUUACUGUUUUAUUAGUUAUGUUAGGGUUUUGUUUUUUUUUUUUUUGGUCAAGCCCAUUUAAAGAUGGUAAUAAAUGCUGGUCAAUAAUUCAGCUCUGGGUCUUUUAAGUUGCUUUCUCAGCUCUGCAAUUUAGAACCAAAC